Molecule: ribosomal RNA, 583 nt
Filed under: Streptomyces sp.
Lineage: Bacteria; Bacillati; Actinomycetota; Actinomycetes; Kitasatosporales; Streptomycetaceae
Description: bacterial SSU rRNA
Rfam family: Bacterial small subunit ribosomal RNA
Source: RNAcentral
UUGUUGGUGAGGUAGUGGCUCACCAGGCGACGACGGGUAGCCGGCCUGAGAGGGCGACCGGCCACACUGGGACUGAGACACGGCCCAGACUCCUACGGGAGGCAGCAGUGGGGAAUAUUGCACAAUGGGCGAAAGCCUGAUGCAGCGACGCCGCGUGAGGGAUGACGGCCUUCGGGUUGUAAACCUCUUUCAGCAGGGAAGAAGCGAAAGUGACGGUACCUGCAGAAGAAGCGCCGGCUAACUACGUGCCAGCAGCCGCGGUAAUACGUAGGGCGCAAGCGUUGUCCGGAAUUAUUGGGCGUAAAGAGCUCGUAGGCGGCUUGUCACGUCGGUUGUGAAAGCCCGGGGCUUAACCCCGGGUCUGCAGUCGAUACGGGCAGGCUAGAGUUCGGUAGGGGAGAUCGGAAUUCCUGGUGUAGCGGUGAAAUGCGCAGAUAUCAGGAGGAACACCGGUGGCGAAGGCGGAUCUCUGGGCCGAUACUGACGCUGAGGAGCGAAAGCGUGGGGAGCGAACAGGAUUAGAUACCCUGGUAGUCCACGCCGUAAACGGUGGGCACUAGGUGUGGGCAACAUUCCACGUUGU